AGACCCGAAACCCGGUGAUCUAGCCAUGGGCAGGUUGAAGGUUGGGUAACACUAACUGGAGGACCGAACCGACUAAUGUUGAAAAAUUAGCGGAUGACCUGUGGCUGGGGGUGAAAGGCCAAUCAAACCGGGAGAUAGCUGGUUCUCCCCGAAAGCUAUUUAGGUAGCGCCUCGUGAAUUCAUCUCCGGGGGUAGAGCACUGUUUCGGCUAGGGGGCCAUCCCGGCUUACCAACCCGAUGCAAACUGCGAAUACCGGAGAAUGUUAUCACGGGAGACACACGGCGGGUGCUAACGUCCGUCGUGAAGAGGGAAACAACCCAGACCGCCAGCUAAGGUCCCAAAGUCAUGGUUAAGUGGGAAACGAUGUGGGAAGGCCCAGACAGCCAGGAUGUUGGCUUAGAAGCAGCCAUCAUUUAAAGAAAGCGUAAUAGCUCACUGGUCGAGUCGGCCUG
Molecule: ribosomal RNA, 453 nt
Filed under: Salmonella enterica subsp. enterica
Lineage: Bacteria; Pseudomonadati; Pseudomonadota; Gammaproteobacteria; Enterobacterales; Enterobacteriaceae
Also listed under: 1 other name
Description: partial 23S ribosomal RNA
Rfam family: Bacterial large subunit ribosomal RNA
Source: RNAcentral